This is a long non-coding RNA of Armigeres subalbatus, 413 nucleotides long. RefSeq lists it as uncharacterized. The record is from RefSeq and is a predicted model, not a curated record. The transcript has 2 exons. NCBI's taxonomy places the organism in Eukaryota, Metazoa, Arthropoda, Insecta, Diptera, Culicidae.
ACAUUUUCUACUGUUGUGAUUUUGCUAUAAUCUGUGACGUCACGCUUAAAACUGACAGAUGCAUGCAUGACAGGCCGGAAGCGAAACGUCAACGAAGCGCGCACGACGUCUUUCGCGAUUCAUCCCCGUGUAUCAACCAACCGCGAGAGUGAAGUACGUUGUGCAAGUACCCAACUUCUCGGAACAUUUUCAGUCAUUCGCGGCGCGACAUCGAGAGUUUAGUGAUCGUCGAGUGUGUGGAGCAAAUUGUACGGUCGAGCUAGCAAAAUGGCGUCAAUACUGCGAAAAUCCGGUCUGGUUUUGGCCGAUUUGGCUGCCAAAUCAUCGCCCAGGAUAUUGGGAAGUGCCGGCCAGCGGCGUAAUCUGAACGUACAGGAGCAUGUGUCAUACACAUUUUUAAACGAAGCGGGUAU